GCUUUGUGGUGGACAAUUCGAAAUUAACAGGCUCUUCCUGCUAUGCAAGGCAGUGACAAGCUGAAGAUGGAGACUGCACAUCAUGGGAGAGGAACGUUUACUCCACAUGGAAUCCCUGUAUUUUUAUGACAUGUACAGUUGGUUGUAAUGCCACACUACGUAUCAUGUACAACAUCAAAGAGCUAAGUAAGUAUAAAGUGUAUCUGAAAUGUGCCUAUCUCUGAGGUGGACAGAUGCCAAUCAGUGCACAAGAGCUGACCCUACUUCGAUUUGUUGUGUACCUUCGUUAUCUGCCCAUUGUAAUGGAAAUCUGCCGCGCAUCAUGGACCCAAAGUGUGGAGCAUCAAGUGUUCACAGCUUCCCAUUGUGAAGUGAAGGUGUUGGGAGCACCUUGCCUUCAGGACAAAAACAGCAGAACGGUGCUGCGAUGACAAGAAGCUGAGUGCUGAGCCCACGCAGGGCACUGGGGAGGGUCACUGGGAGUGAGUCAGGUUGGUGUCUGCUGAGAUGGUUUUGUUUGCACUGUUUUCUCACAUAUGUAUUCAAUAAGGCUUUUGUUUUACUGAGAAGAG
RNAcentral lists this long non-coding RNA (572 nucleotides) under Phasianus colchicus (ring-necked pheasant). RNAcentral describes it as "lncRNA (ENSPCLG00000005781.1)". The record is from RNAcentral. Lineage: Eukaryota; Metazoa; Chordata; Aves; Galliformes; Phasianidae.